Molecule: ribosomal RNA, 479 nt
Filed under: uncultured bacterium
Lineage: Bacteria
Description: bacterial SSU rRNA
Rfam family: Bacterial small subunit ribosomal RNA
Source: RNAcentral
GAUGAACGCUGGCGGCGUGCUUAACACAUGCAAGUCGAACGAAGCACUUUUUCUUGAUUCUUCGGAUGAAAGAGAUUGUGACUGAGUGGCGGACGGGUGAGUAACACGUGGGUAACCUACCUCAUACAGGGGGAUAACGUAUAGAAAUGUACGCUAAUACCGCAUAAGCCUACAGAAUGGCAUCAUUCAGUAGGAAAAACUCCGGUGGUAUACGAUGGACCCGCGUCUGAUUAGCUAGUUGGUGAGGUAACGGCCCACCAAGGCGACGAUCAGUAGCCGGCCUGAGAGGGUGAACGGCCACAUUGGGACUGAGACACGGCCCAAACUCCUACGGGAGGCAGCAGUGGGGAAUAUUGGACAAUGGGGGAAACCCUGAUCCAGCGACGCCGCGUGAGUGAAGAAGUAUUUCGGUAUGUAAAGCUCUAUCAGCAGGGAAGAAAAUGACGGUACCUGACUAAGAAGCUCCGGCUAAAUACGUG